RNAcentral lists this long non-coding RNA (279 nucleotides) under Panax ginseng (ginseng). RNAcentral's name for it is "long non-coding RNA (PGIN_LNC011036)". Lineage: Eukaryota; Viridiplantae; Streptophyta; Magnoliopsida; Apiales; Araliaceae. The record is from RNAcentral.
UUUAUAUAUUAAUGGUGAUUAUUUAAAAAUGAUUUUAAUUGUUUUAAAAAUCAUUUAAGGGUAAAAUAAAUGUUUUAAAAAUAGUUUGAGUUAUUAUAAAUAACUUUUAUAUUUUGGCAAUGAUUUCAUUAAUAAUUUAAUAUUAAUUAAUUAUUAAUGAUAAUAGAAUUGUUUGAUGUUUAAGUCAUAUAAUUAUAAUUCCGAUGUUUGAAAGUGAUAUCCGGUCAAACUAGCUGACUAGAGAACCGGUUAUGAAGUCCAGGAUUUAGUGAAGAGCAC